Molecule: microRNA, 24 nt
Filed under: Apopellia endiviifolia
Lineage: Eukaryota; Viridiplantae; Streptophyta; Jungermanniopsida; Pelliales; Pelliaceae
Description: microRNA 8187
Source: RNAcentral
ACAAGGUAUGGGAGGUAUGGAAUG